CUGCCUUCUUGACCUGUUUCACUUCAGCACGGCAGCCCACCUCACCUCCCCGUCUCCUACGCGUCGCGAGCGUCGCCAGCUGGGUCGUCUUCAAGGUUUCAUUGCUAGCUAGGACUGAAAAUGAAAACGUUUUCAGCCUAUUCUAAUGUUCAUAGUUCGUAGUUCGUAUACAAUUGUGGAAACCGUAUAAUUUUCAAAGAUUUUAAUUGUUU
This 212-nucleotide long non-coding RNA is filed under the name Physcomitrium patens. RNAcentral describes it as "long non-coding RNA (PPAT_LNC000834)". The record is from RNAcentral. Lineage: Eukaryota; Viridiplantae; Streptophyta; Bryopsida; Funariales; Funariaceae.